UCGUCGCUGGCUCCUCGAUUAAACAAUGGAAAUGUUAAUUAUCGUGUAAUUGAAAUUUCAAAGUUGUUUCGAUAAACUAUCGUGAUUUAGACGUUCUCGUGCUAUGUUUGCGACGAAGAAGACAAGUACCGACGGCACGUGAACACAAGUUGUCGCAGAGCGAGGGCUUGCGUCAUUUCUAUGGGCAUCGUUGCUGUAACCGAGCUUCGAAUUUUCAAGAAACCAGCCAAAGGACACCGUGCCGUAACGAACAAAAAUUUGUCCGAAUACAGAAGUCGAAGAAUUGAAUUUUUUGCCGCGUCGUCCCGCUUGCCCGACCACCGCGUGCACAGUUUUAGGUUUCUUCGGAGGAACAACACCCUGAUGCGCGGACCCCUUCCACGUUGCUCCGUGGGGCACCGUUCCGAACGGUCGAACGAGGAUGCGCUGCUUUUGGAAACCGAACGGAGCCACGGAGGAGCCUCGACUGUUUAUUCCGUGAAUACGGGUGCCCGUGCAGGGAAAUAGA
Non-coding RNA from Megalopta genalis, 508 nucleotides. Lineage: Eukaryota; Metazoa; Arthropoda; Insecta; Hymenoptera; Halictidae. The record is from RefSeq and is a predicted model, not a curated record.